UACGUAGGGUGCAAGCGUUGUCCGGAAUUAUUGGGCGUAAAGAGCUCGUAGGCGGUCUGUCGCGUCGGCUGUGAAAACCCGGGGCUCAACCCCGGGCCUGCAGUCGAUACGGGCAGACUAGAGUGCGGUAGGGGAGACUGGAAUUCCUGGUGUAGCGGUGAAAUGCGCAGAUAUCAGGAGGAACACCGGUGGCGAAGGCGGGUCCCUGGACAACUUCUGACGCUGAGGCACGAAAGCUAGGGGAGCAAACAGG
RNAcentral lists this ribosomal RNA (253 nucleotides) under uncultured bacterium. Its description in RNAcentral is "partial 16S ribosomal RNA". It matches the Rfam family "Bacterial small subunit ribosomal RNA", at positions 524 to 776 of the family's 1533-position model. The record is from RNAcentral.